UAGGGAAUCUUCGGCAAUGGGGGCAACCCUGACCGAGCAACGCCGCGUGAGUGACGAAGGUUUUCGGAUCGUAAAGCUCUGUUGUAAGAGAAGAACGUGUGUGAGAGUGGAAAGUUCACACAGUGACGGUAACUUACCAGAAAGGGACGGCUAACUACGUGUCAG
This 165-nucleotide ribosomal RNA is filed under the name uncultured bacterium. Its description in RNAcentral is "partial 16S rRNA". It matches the Rfam family "Bacterial small subunit ribosomal RNA", at positions 355 to 511 of the family's 1533-position model. The record is from RNAcentral.